ACGAACGCUGGCGGCAGGCUUAACACAUGCAAGUCGAGCGAGGACUUCGGUUCUAGCGGCGGACGGGUGAGUAACGCGUGGGAACGUGCCCUUUUCUACGGAAUAGCCUCGGGAAACUGAGAGUAAUACCGUAUACGCCCUUUUGGGGAAAGAUUUAUCGGAGAAGGAUCGGCCCGCGUUGGAUUAGGUAGUUGGUGGGGUAAUGGCCUACCAAGCCGACGAUCCAUAGCUGGUUUGAGAGGAUGAUCAGCCACACUGGGACUGAGACACGGCCCAGACUCCUACGGGAGGCAGCAGUGGGGAAUCUUAGACAAUGGGGGCAACCCUGAUCUAGCCAUGCCGCGUGAGUGAUGAAGGCCUUAGGGUUGUAAAGCUCUUUCAGCUGGGAAGAUAAUGACGGUACCAGCAGAAGAAGCCCCGGCUAACUCCGU
Molecule: ribosomal RNA, 431 nt
Filed under: uncultured bacterium
Lineage: Bacteria
Description: bacterial SSU rRNA
Rfam family: Bacterial small subunit ribosomal RNA
Source: RNAcentral